RNAcentral lists this long non-coding RNA (323 nucleotides) under Salvia miltiorrhiza (redroot sage). RNAcentral's name for it is "long non-coding RNA (SMIL_LNC000902)". The record is from RNAcentral. Lineage: Eukaryota; Viridiplantae; Streptophyta; Magnoliopsida; Lamiales; Lamiaceae.
UAUACCUCCUCAAAAUCAAAUUUUUGCUGAUAUUAUUGUGGAUCCACUUUCCACCCACUUUAACUCAUUCAAUAUUAAGUUAUAUUUAAUUGUAAUUUUACAUUCAUUUUUUAUAACUUAAUAUAAAUUAAUUUGAUAAAUAUUUAUAAGUAAUAUAAAAAUAAAUAAAUUAGUUUGUAAAAGAUAAUAUAACAAAAUUAACACUCUAAUCAAUAAAAGAUAACAUAAUAAAGAGAAAAAAAAAAGAACGAAAACUGGGAGAAAAAAAGAGAGAAGAAGCAAAAAACUAAAAAUAAUGUGAAAUACAUCUCCAAAGCAAAAGA